AACGAACGCUGGUGGCGGGCCUAAUACAUGCAAGUCGAACGAGAAAGCUUCUUCGGAAGUGAUUAAAGUGGCGCACGGGUGAGUAACACGUAGGUGACCUACCCUUUAGUGGGGGACAACCCGAGGAAACUCGGGCUAAUACCGCAUAAGCUGGUCUAUUUUGAAUAUGGAUCAGGAAAGAUUUAUCGCUAAAGGAAGGGCUUGCGGAUCAUUAGCUUGUUGGUGGGGUAAAAGCCUACCAAGGCUACGAUGAAUAGCUGGUCUGAGAGGAUGAUCAGUCACACUGGAACUGAGACACGGUCCAGACUCCUACGGGAGGCAGCAGUAGGGAAUAUUGCGCAAUGGGGGAAACCCUGACGCAGCCACGCCACGUGAGUGAGGAAGGCCUUCGGGUUGUAAAGCUCUGUCAGUAGGGAAAAAUUGCCCGCAAGGGAGUUGAUGGUACCUACAAAGGAAGCACCGGCUAACUUCG
RNAcentral lists this ribosomal RNA (472 nucleotides) under uncultured Bacteriovoracaceae bacterium. RNAcentral's name for it is "bacterial SSU rRNA". It matches the Rfam family "Bacterial small subunit ribosomal RNA", at positions 29 to 505 of the family's 1533-position model. Lineage: Bacteria; Pseudomonadati; Bdellovibrionota; Bacteriovoracia; Bacteriovoracales; Bacteriovoracaceae. The record is from RNAcentral.